RNAcentral lists this ribosomal RNA (407 nucleotides) under uncultured bacterium. Its description in RNAcentral is "partial 16S ribosomal RNA". It matches the Rfam family "Bacterial small subunit ribosomal RNA", at positions 28 to 526 of the family's 1533-position model. The record is from RNAcentral.
GACGAACGCUGGCGGCGUGCGUAAUACAUGCAAGUAGGACGCAGUUGCGAACGGGUGAGUAACGCGUAGGUAACUACCUAUUAGAGGGGGAUAACUAGUGGAAACGAUAGCUAAUCCCGCAUACUAGUAGAUGGACCUGCGUUGUAUUAGGUAGUAGGUGGGGUAAUGGCCUACCUAGGCAACGAUACAUAGCCGACCUGAGAGGGUGAUGGGCCCCCCUGGGACUGGGACACGGCCCAGACUCCUACGGGAGGCAGCAGUAGGGAAUCUGCGGCAAUGUGGGGAACCCUGAGCGAGCAACGCCGAGUGAGUGAAGAUGGUUUUCGGAUCGUAAUGCUCUGUUGUUAAGGAAGCGGUACUUAACCAGAAAGGGACGGCUAACUACGUGCCAGCCGCCGCGGUAAUUC